RNAcentral lists this long non-coding RNA (688 nucleotides) under Phasianus colchicus (ring-necked pheasant). RNAcentral describes it as "lncRNA (ENSPCLG00000019367.1)". The record is from RNAcentral. Lineage: Eukaryota; Metazoa; Chordata; Aves; Galliformes; Phasianidae.
GGGGUCUCUGCUGGAGCGGAGCGAUGGGAGUUUUCGUUGUAGCAACAUUGCCACCUAGUGCUGUCGGGAUGCAGUUCCGACUCCGUGAAAUCCGCCUCUUGAGCAACUGAAACAACAAAACAAGUUGGUGUGACUUCUUCAUUCCGUAUUUUAGCCACGCUGCCACCUCUCUUCCCUCGAUAUUCUCACUUUUAGUGAGAACUCUUCUGAAAUAAUGGGAAUAAUUCAAAGCUCGCUGGCUGGCUUUCACAACGGAAGACCCCUGAUUAAAUGUUGGCUUUGAAUGGAGGCAGACUGCAAUGGUGAUACGUCACAACAAACCGGGAGGUGAUGGAGGAGGGCUUACCUGGAGGCUGUUCAGAAGCCAGCAGACUACAGCUAUUGGAAACUGAAACUAGAUCUUCUCGCUCUCUAUCCAGCCUUCAGCAACCUAUUCUUCCCAAAUCACGGCCCAUCUGCACACAGCUCCUCUGAGCCAUCACCUGAAACUGAAAAACCUUCAUUCUCCUUGACAUAACUGAGAUGAUGUAAAGAAGUCGAAAAGCCUGUGAGAGCAAAACAGAGUGUAGACUAUGCAGCCUGAGUCCUGGGCUAAAUAAUUAUCUCCGAGUAUUGUAUUAUUUGCAUAAUUAAAAAGUUUGGCUGAAUUUCCGACAUGCUGUCUCCUACAUCAGGGAGGUGGUGGGGG